UACGUAGGGUGCAAGCGUUAAUCGGAAUUACUGGGCGUAAAGCGUGCGCAGGCGGUUGUGCAAGACAGAUGUGAAAUCCCCGGGCUCAACCCUGGGGAAUUGCAUUUGUGACUGCACGGCUAGAGUGUGUCAGAGGGGGGUAGAAUUCCACGUGUGAGCAGUGAAAUGCGUAGAUAUGUGGAGGAAUACCGAUGGCGAAGGCAGCCCCCUGGGAUAACACUGACGCUCAUGCACGAAAGCGUGGGGAGCAAACAGG
Molecule: ribosomal RNA, 256 nt
Filed under: uncultured bacterium
Lineage: Bacteria
Description: partial 16S ribosomal RNA
Rfam family: Bacterial small subunit ribosomal RNA
Source: RNAcentral